GAUAUUUGAAGUCAUUGAGUUGUAUUGGGGCAUCCAGAAGACUCUUUAGGAAGCAAGGUUAGCAUAUGGGGUCCUAACUGGUCCACUCUCACUCCUGGGAGAGCCACGAGCUGCUCCCUGACUCCCUCCUUUUUAGAUCUAGAGGUCAAUUAGUUGGUGGUUUGGGGUUUGUGUUAGAUGCAAUUGAGCUAUAAUCCAACCAUGGCUGGGCCCCUAGCUUUACGGCCCAGGAUGUUUUUACUCCAUCGGUUUCUUGAAAUCGAAGCUAUUCGCUCUGAAUAAUUUGAUUGAAGUGAAAUUUUGAACAAAUAGGAUUUGCACUUGUAUGUGAAGCAAAAAUCUGCUAGUCGGUGAAACACGCAUAUUAGAACAUCCCAUUAACCUACAUCUUCCUUCACAAUCAACUCCUCUGUCGGUCGUCCCCCAACCACGAACACAUUUCCCAUUGCUUUUGUAUACUGUCCCAC
RNAcentral lists this long non-coding RNA (467 nucleotides) under Setaria viridis. RNAcentral describes it as "long non-coding RNA (SVIR_LNC011215)". Lineage: Eukaryota; Viridiplantae; Streptophyta; Magnoliopsida; Poales; Poaceae. The record is from RNAcentral.